This 491-nucleotide ribosomal RNA is filed under the name uncultured bacterium. RNAcentral's name for it is "partial 16S ribosomal RNA". It matches the Rfam family "Bacterial small subunit ribosomal RNA", at positions 29 to 506 of the family's 1533-position model. The record is from RNAcentral.
AGUGAACGCUGGCGGUAGGCCUAACACAUGCAAGUCGAACGGCAGCACAGUAAGAGCUUGCUCUUACGGGUGGCGAGUGGCGGACGGGUGAGGAAUACAUCGGAAUCUACUUUUUCGUGGGGGAUAACGUAGGGAAACUUACGCUAAUACCGCAUACGACCUACGGGUGAAAGCAGGGGAUCUUCGGACCUUGCGCGAUUGAAUGAGCCGAUGUCGGAUUAGCUAGUUGGCGGGGUAAAGGCCCACCAAGGCGACGAUCCGUAGCUGGUCUGAGAGGAGGAUCAGCCACACUGGAACUGAGACACGGUCCAGACUCCUACGGGAGGCAGCAGUGGGGAAUAUUGGACAAUGGGCGCAAGCCUGAGCCAGCCAUACCGCGUGGGUGAAGAAGGCCUUCGGGUGGUAAAGCCCUUUUGUUGGGAAAGAAAAGCAGCAGGUUAAUACCCCGCUGUUCUGACGGUACCCAAAGAAUAAGCACCGGCUAACUUCGU